UCAUAAGCUAUCUAUGUAUGUUUUUGUUGUUGUUUUUGGAGUUUAAUCAAGCUAUUAAGCUCCUUUGUGCAUGGUUAAGGGUUUAUGCAUGUUUUGGUAAGGUUGGGUGCAUGUUUUGGGGUGUUUGGAAGGUUUGGGAGGCUUGAAUGCAUGAGAAGCUGAGUUCUGCCCUUCUGGGAAGAACUCAGGUUCGGCCGCCGAAGGUGGUUUCGGCCGC
This 217-nucleotide long non-coding RNA is filed under the name Manihot esculenta (cassava). RNAcentral describes it as "long non-coding RNA (MESC_LNC002895)". Lineage: Eukaryota; Viridiplantae; Streptophyta; Magnoliopsida; Malpighiales; Euphorbiaceae. The record is from RNAcentral.